UGGGGAAUAUUGCACAAUGGGCGCAAGCCUGAUGCAGCCAUGCCGCGUGUAUGAAGAAGGCCUUCGGGUUGUAAAGCACUUUCAGCGGGGAGGAAGGGAGUAAAGUUAAUACCUUUGCUCAUUGACGUUACUCGCAGAAGAAGCACCGGCUAACUCCGUGCCAGCAGCCGCGGUAAUACGGAGGGUGCAAGCGUUAAUCGGAAUUACUGGGCGUAAAGCGCACGCAGGCGGUUUGUUAAGUCAGAUGUGAAAUCCCCGGGCUCAACCUGGGAACUGCAUCUGAUACUGGCAAGCUUGAGUCUCGUAGAGGGGGGUAGAAUUCCAGGUGUAGCGGUGAAAUGCGUAGAGAUCUGGAGGAAUACCGGUGGCGAAGGCGGCCCCCUGGGCGAAGACUGACGCUCAGGUGCGAAAGCGUGGGGAGCAAACAGG
RNAcentral lists this ribosomal RNA (429 nucleotides) under Chloroflexota bacterium. RNAcentral's name for it is "Chloroflexi bacterium partial 16S ribosomal RNA". It matches the Rfam family "Bacterial small subunit ribosomal RNA", at positions 355 to 776 of the family's 1533-position model. Lineage: Bacteria; Bacillati; Chloroflexota. The record is from RNAcentral.